This is a non-coding RNA of Scomber japonicus (chub mackerel), 387 nucleotides long. NCBI's taxonomy places the organism in Eukaryota, Metazoa, Chordata, Actinopteri, Scombriformes, Scombridae. The record is from the annotation of a RefSeq genome assembly.
AUGAUGAUGUCACUGACUCUACUGCUGAGCACCCUGGGGCUCCUUGUUCAGGGUUCAUCAGGACAAACUCUGACUCAGUCUCCUGGAUCUCAGUCUGUUGCUCCAGGACAGACUGUCACCAUCAAAUGUAAAGCCAGUUUAGAUGUUUAUAGUUAUUAUUUUAAUGCCAGCAUGCUCUACUGGUACCUUCAGAAACCUGGAGAAGCUCCUAAACUCCUGAUUUAUAAUGCUACAAACCGUCAGUCUGGAGUUUCAGAUCGUUUUUGUGGGAGUGGAUCAAACACUGACUUCACUCUGACCAUCAGUGGAGUUCAGGCUGAAGAUGCAGCAGUUUAUUUCUGUAAGAGUGUUCAUUGGAUCAAUAGUCAGGAUGUGUUCACACAGUGA